AACGAACGCUGGCGGCAUGCUUAACACAUGCAAGUCGAACGCUUUGGGGCUUCGGCCCCGAGGAGUGGCGCACGGGUGAGUAGCGCGUGGGAACCUGCCCUCUUGUGGGGGAUAACCGAGGGAAACCUCGGCUAAUACCGCAUGAGCCGGAGAGAUCCGGGAAAGAUUUAUCGCGAGAGGAGGGGCCCGCGUCGGAUUAGCGUUGUUGGGUGGGGUAACGGCCCACCAAGGCGAUGGAUCCGUAGCUGGUCUGAGAGGAUGA
RNAcentral lists this ribosomal RNA (262 nucleotides) under uncultured bacterium. Its description in RNAcentral is "partial 16S ribosomal RNA". It matches the Rfam family "Bacterial small subunit ribosomal RNA", at positions 28 to 303 of the family's 1533-position model. The record is from RNAcentral.